GACGAACGCUGGCGGCGUGCUUAACACAUGCCAGUCGAACGGAAAGGCCCUGCUUUUGUGGGGUGCUCGAGUGGCGAACGGGUGAGUAACACGUGAGUAACCUGCCCUUGACUUUGGGAUAACUUCAGGAAACUGGGGCUAAUACCGGAUAGGAGCUCCUGCUGCAUGGUGGGGGUUGGAAAGUUUCGGCGGUUGGGGAUGGACUCGCGGCUUAUCAGCUUGUUGGUGGGGUAGUGGCUUACCAAGGCUUUGACGGGUAGCCGGCCUGAGAGGGUGACCGGCCACAUUGGGACUGAGAUACGGCCCAGACUCCUACGGGAGGCAGCAGUGGGGAAUAUUGCACAAUGGGCGGAAGCCUGAUGCAGCAACGCCGCGUGCGGGAUGACGGCCCUCGGGUUGUAAACCGCUUUCGCCUGUGACGAAGCGUGAGUGACGGUAAUGGGUAAAGAAGCACCGGCUAACUACGUG
Molecule: ribosomal RNA, 468 nt
Filed under: uncultured bacterium
Lineage: Bacteria
Description: partial 16S ribosomal RNA
Rfam family: Bacterial small subunit ribosomal RNA
Source: RNAcentral